Molecule: long non-coding RNA, 212 nt
Filed under: Mytilus galloprovincialis (Mediterranean mussel)
Lineage: Eukaryota; Metazoa; Mollusca; Bivalvia; Mytilida; Mytilidae
Source: RNAcentral
GUUUGUUAUGAUUUAACAAAUAUGGCUGCUAAUAAAAUGCCGUGUUUUGAAGCCGAGUUUUACCGAAUAUCACCUUAUAUUAAACGAAUCAUGUGCACAAAAAGCAUGAGUAUUGAGCACGUAUUUGACAUGUAUAAUCAGAUAUUUUUUAUUUCAAUGACAGAUCCAUGCAUAUUGCGAUCACCGGAUUUUUACGAGGAGAGUUACGCUCG